Molecule: ribosomal RNA, 81 nt
Filed under: Veillonella sp.
Lineage: Bacteria; Bacillati; Bacillota; Negativicutes; Veillonellales; Veillonellaceae
Source: RNAcentral
UCUGGUGAUGAUGGCGUAGAGGAAACACUCCUUCCCAUUCCGAACAGGAAAGUUAAGCUCUACAGCGUCAAUGGUACUGCA